UACGUAGGGGGCAAGCGUUGUCCGGAUUUAUUGGGCGUAAAGGGCGCGUAGGCGGCUCUGCACGUUCGUUGUGAAAUCGCCCGGCUCAACUGGGCGGGGUCGGCGGAUACGGCGUGGCUGGAGCAAGCUAGGGGGCAAUGGAAUUCCCGGUGUAGUGGUGGAAUGCGCAGAUAUCAGGAGGAACACCGGUGGCGAAGGCGGGUCUCUGGGCAGUAACUGACGCUGAGGAGCGAAAGCGUGGGGAGCGAACAGG
Molecule: ribosomal RNA, 253 nt
Filed under: uncultured bacterium
Lineage: Bacteria
Description: partial 16S ribosomal RNA
Rfam family: Bacterial small subunit ribosomal RNA
Source: RNAcentral